UGGGGAUAUGGCGGAAUUGGUAGACGCUGCGGACUUAAAUAUUAAAUCGUAGUGCUGAGAAAGUCCAGAUUGAAAAUCCGUUGAUUGAAUAAAUCGUGAGGGUUCAAGUCCCUCUAUCCCCAG
Molecule: transfer RNA, 123 nt
Filed under: Pedobesia claviformis
Lineage: Eukaryota; Viridiplantae; Chlorophyta; Ulvophyceae; Bryopsidales; Derbesiaceae
Description: tRNA-Leu
Rfam family: tRNA
About the family: Transfer RNA (tRNA) molecules are approximately 80 nucleotides in length.
Source: RNAcentral